UCCCUGGUGGUCCAAUGGUUGGAACUCUGUACUUUCACUGCUGAGGGCACAGGUUCCAUUCCUGGCUCAGGAA
Molecule: transfer RNA, 73 nt
Filed under: Ovis aries (sheep)
Lineage: Eukaryota; Metazoa; Chordata; Mammalia; Artiodactyla; Bovidae
Rfam family: tRNA
About the family: Transfer RNA (tRNA) molecules are approximately 80 nucleotides in length. Their secondary structure includes four short double-helical elements and three loops (D, anti-codon, and T loops).
Source: Rfam by way of RNAcentral